UCAAACGUUGAAGGGCUUCUGACGGAUGCCUUGGCGUAGAGAGGCGAUGAAGGACGUGGCAAGCUGCGAUAAGAACCGGGGAGGCGCUAGCACCCUUUGAUCCGGUUAUUUCCGAAUGGGGGAACCCACCUUUACAGUCUUCCAACUCUGCUCUUCGGAGCAGCGAUUGGCGGAUUGUUGAAAGGUAUAAUGAGCUGAAUACAUAGGCUUCAUUAAGCGAACCCGGGGAACUGAAACAUCUCAGUACCCGGAGGAAAGGACAUCAACCGAGACUCCCGUAGUAGUGGCGAGCGAACCGGGACCAGGCCAGUGCUCUUGUGAAAUAAAGACGAACGAUCUGGAAAGGUCGGCCAUAGUGGGUGAAAGCCCCGUAGUCAUCAAAUAGCAAGAGACUCGAGUAGGGCGGGACACGUGAAAUCCUGUCUGAACAUGGGGGGACCACCCUCCAAGCCUAAGUACUCCUCUACGACCGAUAGUGAACAAGUACCGUGAGGGAAAGGUGAAAAGCACCCCGACAAGGGGAGUGAAACAGAUCCUGAAAUCGGAAGCCUACAAGCAGUCGGAGCCUCCACGCGAGGUGACGGCGUACCUUUUGUAUAAUGGGUCAGCGACUUCAUGUGUCGAGCAAGCUUAAGCCGUUAGGUGUAGGCGCAGCGAAAGCGAGUCUGAAUAGGGCGCUAAGUUCGACGUAUGACGACCCGAAACCAGGUGAUCUAUCCAUGAGCAGGUUGAAGGUUAGGUAACACUAACUGGAGGACCGAACCCGUGAAUGUUGAAAAAUUCUGGGAUGACUUGUGGAUAGGGGUGAAAGGCCAAUCAAACCUGGACAUAGCUGGUUCUCCGCGAAAUCUAUUUAGGUAGAGCGUCCGACGAAUUCCUUGGGGGGUAGAGCACUGGAUGGUUGCGGGCUGCGCGAGCGGUACCAAUACUAACCAAACUCCGAAUACCCAAGAGAACUAUCGGGCAGACACACGGCGGGUGCUAACGUCCGUCGUGAAAAGGGAAACAACCCUAACCAUCAUCUAAGGCCCCCAAGUAACGGCUAAGUGGGAAACGAUGUGGGAUUGCUUUGACAAUCAGGAGGUUGGCUUAGAAGCAGCCAUCCUUUAAAGAAAGCGUAACAGCUCACUGAUCAAGCGAUCCUGCGCGGAAAAUGUAACGGGGCUCAAGCCGUUCGCCGAAGAUAUGGGUUUGCAGUUUACUGCAAGCGGUAGCGGAGCGUUCCGUAGGCCGGUGAAGGUCAGGCGUGAGCCUGGCUGGAGGUAUCGGAAGUGAGAAUGCUGACAUGAGUAACGAUAAGAGUGUGAGAGACACUCUCGCCGAAAGACCAAGGGUUCCUGCGUAAAGCUAAUCUGCGCAGGGUUAGUCGGCCCCUAAGGCGAGGCUGAAAAGCGUAGUCGAUGGGAAGCAGGUAAAUAUUCCUGCACCAGCUGGAAGUGACGGAUGGCAUAACUCGUACCCACUUAUUGGAUUGUGUGUGCGGGGGCGUCGUCCCAGGAAAUAACUCCAGCAGAGACCGUACCCGAAACCGACACAGGUGGUCAGGUAGAGCAUACCAAGGCGUUUGAGAGAACUAUGUUGAAGGAACUCGGCAAAUUGCACGCGUAACUUCGGAAUAAGCGUGACUCACCCUGCGCAAGCAGGACUGAGUGGCACAAGCCAGGGGGUAGCGACUGUUUAGCAAAAACACAGGGCUCUGCGAAGCAGCAAUGCGACGUAUAGGGUCUGACGCCUGCCCGGUGCCUGAAGGUUAAAGGGAGGAGUGAAAGCUCCGAACUGAAGCCCAGGUAAACGGCGGCCGUAACUAUAACGGUCCUAAGGUAGCGAAAUUCCUUGUCG
This 1839-nucleotide ribosomal RNA is filed under the name wastewater metagenome. RNAcentral's name for it is "bacterial LSU rRNA". It matches the Rfam family "Bacterial large subunit ribosomal RNA", at positions 1 to 1974 of the family's 2925-position model. The record is from RNAcentral.